AUUGAACGCUGGCGGCAGGCCUAACACAUGCAAGUCGAACGAGUGGCGGACGGGUGAGUAAUGUCUGGGAAACUGCCCGAUGGAGGGGGAUAACUACUGGAAACAGUAGCUAAUACCGCCUACCAUCGGUUGCGCCCAGAUGGGAUUAGCUAGUAGGGGGGGUAACGGCUCCCCUAGGCGACGAUCCCUAGCUGGUCUGAGAGGAUGACGAGCCACACUGGAACUGGGACACGGUCCAGACUCCUACGGAAGGCAGCAGUGGGGAAUAUUGCACAAUGGGCGCAAGCCGGAUGCAGCCAGGCCGCGUGUAUGAAGAAGGCCUUCGGGUUGUAAAGUACGUUCAGCGAGGAGGCGUUACUCGCAGAAGAAGCACCGGCUAACUCCGUGCCAGCCGCCGCGGUAAUAC
Molecule: ribosomal RNA, 406 nt
Filed under: uncultured bacterium
Lineage: Bacteria
Description: partial 16S ribosomal RNA
Rfam family: Bacterial small subunit ribosomal RNA
Source: RNAcentral